Molecule: non-coding RNA, 73 nt
Organism: Ixodes scapularis (black-legged tick)
Lineage: Eukaryota; Metazoa; Arthropoda; Arachnida; Ixodida; Ixodidae
Source: Rfam
GCAUGGUUAGCUCAGUUGGUAGAGCACUUCACUGGAAAUGGAAAAGUCCGUAGUUCGAUACUCGGACCAGGCG